UCAUUAGCAUUCUGUUGUAUGUAUUUAAACACAUAUAACCAUCAACGCUCACACUCACACCUAGGGACAAUUUAGGGAGUUCCAUUAAUGUGCCAUGCAUGUUUUUGGAAUGUGGGAGGAAACCAGAAUUGAGAGAAAACCCACACAUGUACAGGGAGAACAUGCAAACUCCACAGAGGGAGGCUGGAGCCGGAAUCGAACCAAUUGUGGGGUCGACGUGCUAACCACUCGAUCACCGAGGCCGCCCUAGCAAUAUAUCUCUCCACAAUUAUGUUGUUGCUAAUGAAAUAUCUAAAAAUUAAUUUGUCAACCAUUAAUAAGUCACAGUCCAAACUUUUUUUGCUUUCAUAUUAAAUCACACAUCAUUAAAAAACCCUCAGUGUUACAAACAAGGAUUUAUGAUUACUUGCAAGUCACGAACAUAACAAAUAAAUAUGAAUUUGUGCGAUGACUAAUUCCAAUUACAGAAUAUUACACACACUCAUACAGCAGUUACAUAGAAACAGCUAGCUAGCGAAAGUUUUGGCUGGCUUUCUAUUGCGCCUAAGUACGCUGUGAGGUUGUUCCCAUGUUAGUAAUCAUCGCCUGCAUGGCGGAAAAUAAGCCACGUUUAUGACUGAUGUCACAUUCACGAAGGGAUGAUGAGAAAAGACAUGAUAGUUCUGCUAAAUGUCAAGCUAACCGACAAUUGACAUGGCUAGCACAUUUCACACCGCAAUUAAGUGCUUGGGUGAUUGAUGACACUUUUCACAGAUGUCUGGCUGUAAACGCCUUAAAGCAGAAAACAUACAACUUUGAGCAGCCAAAGAGCAAGACAAUUAUUCAGUGUCUGUAUUCUGGAGAGAAAAUCAUACACGCUAAACUGAAAUAGAGCUGAAAAUGAAUUAACUUCUGUUAAGGAUGCAUGUAUAUGAACUUAGCAAGAAAUGUUUAUAUUUAUUUUCACAAAAGAGUCCUGAGUUUUUGACUUUGACUUUUGAGGUCUGCACAAUAAAUCGAUUCCAUUACAGCAAAGCUAUGUUUUUCUUUACAAUGAAUUCAGCAUUGCUUCUGGACAAUCAAAGAAAGUUUGCUGUUACACGCAAUGUGAAUUUCAGAAAAAAAAUACCAUUAAAAAAACAAACAAACAAUUGUUCAUUCAUUAUAUUGUCAGAUUUUUAUUUUUUAAUAAAACCCUUGCUGCAGUUCCCUGGGGGAAAAAAACAAUUCUCCUACACAUUUUUGUUAAUAGAAAGAUCUCUUUCAUUUCUUUUAUGCAACUGAAUUUGAUUUAUAUGAAGUGUUCUCAAAACUACUGUGUUUGUGUCUAAGCGGUCAGUGGGAGCCAAGUCAAAAUACUGGAUGUAAAUAAUUGAGUUUUGUUUGGAUAUGUUUGGACACAACAUUUGCUUUGCACCGUAGUUUACUUACAAAGAAGAUUUACAUAUCCUGAAUUUGACAGGGUGCCGCACACAGAUUCACACGUAGUGUCUUUAUAACAUGCACACGUGCACGCUGUUUACCUAAGGGUGAGAUCUUCCGACAACGAUGAUGAUGAU
Molecule: long non-coding RNA, 1538 nt
Organism: Hippocampus zosterae (dwarf seahorse)
Lineage: Eukaryota; Metazoa; Chordata; Actinopteri; Syngnathiformes; Syngnathidae
Exons: 2
Source: RefSeq, a predicted model, not a curated record